GGACUUAUUCAGCAGAACCCCCAAGAAGAUGCAGACUAAGAAAUGCCAAUGCUUUGAUGGGUACAAGGAAGAAAUAGGACUAAGACAAGACAAAUAAUGGAGGACUUACAUGGCAGAGUGUGGUGAGGAGAAAGGAAGUGCCAGAUUUAUCCCAUGAUCUGAAAUUCGACCACGUAUGAGCAACUGUAUAUGAGAAAGAGCUACUAAAUAAGACAUUCUGUUUCCUGGUGAGGAAGGAGAGAGUAAUGAGCAAAUCAUGCUCCUGGUGUUAU
Molecule: long non-coding RNA, 272 nt
Filed under: Homo sapiens (human)
Lineage: Eukaryota; Metazoa; Chordata; Mammalia; Primates; Hominidae
Description: non-protein coding lnc-DSG1-13:4
Source: RNAcentral